GUAGGGAAUAUUGGGCAAUGGAGGCAACUCUGACCCAGCCAUGCCGCGUGCAGGAAGACGGUCCUCUGGAUUGUAAACUGCUUUUGAAUGGGAAGAAACGUAGCUUUGCGAAGCUAUUUGACGGUACUAUUAGAAUAAGCACCGGCUAACUCCGUGCCAGCAGCCGCGGUAAUACGGAGGGUGCAAGCGUUAUCCGGAUUUAUUGGGUUUAAAGUGUGCGUAGGCUGCUUUAUAGGUCUGGGGUUAAAGGCGGCAGCUUAACUGUACGCAUGUCCUGGGAACUGGGAAGCUUGAGUGACUUGGAGGUAGCUAGAAUUCCCUGUGUGGCGGUGAAAUGCAUAGAUACGGGGAGGAAUACCGAUUGCGAAGGCAUGUUACUACGAGUAAACUGACGCUGAUGCACGAAAGCGUGGGGAUCAAACAGGAUUAGAUACCCGUGUAGUCC
RNAcentral lists this ribosomal RNA (445 nucleotides) under uncultured bacterium. Its description in RNAcentral is "partial 16S ribosomal RNA". It matches the Rfam family "Bacterial small subunit ribosomal RNA", at positions 354 to 796 of the family's 1533-position model. The record is from RNAcentral.